Benincasa hispida (wax gourd) is the source of this 1572-nucleotide non-coding RNA. The record is from RefSeq and is a predicted model, not a curated record. Lineage: Eukaryota; Viridiplantae; Streptophyta; Magnoliopsida; Cucurbitales; Cucurbitaceae.
GCCACUGCCCGCCACAGAAAAGAGUGCAAUUUAAGAGAAUAAAUCAAUAAAACACGAAAGGGGGGACGGAGAGCAGUUCUGGGUCAUCGGAAGAAGGCCGAGUUAAUUAAACAGUGGCGAAAAUGGAGGAUGGUGAAGAAGACGAGUUGAGAGGCUUGGCAAGUGCGUCAGCCCCAUCUUUACAACCAAAUUUCAAGCCUAAAAGAGUCACCAACGAGCAACUCUCUAAAUUUCAGGUGCUCUUUUUCCUUGAUUUCCGUUCGAAUUUGGGUUUAGGGUUUAGUUCAAUGUCAUCAUUCAUUAUAAUGCUUCUUAUCUAACAUCAAGACGGGAGGGGAAAGAAAGAAAGAAACUUCUUGGUAGUGAAAUUGUGAAAGGUGUUUCUGUAUCCAAUCACUAUGGUGGUUGGAAAACCAAUUGUAAAUAUUAGAAGGCCAUGGCCCAUUUAGUAACUACGCGGUUUUUAGUUUUUGGUUUUUGAAAAUUAAGCACCCAUUUUCUUUGGUUAAUCAUUUACUUUGUUUUCAAAAAUCAAGUUAAGUUUUUUGAAAACUAGAAAAAAUAUUUUUAGAAUCUGCUUUUGUUUUUAGAAUUUAGCUAAGAAUCAAUUUUUUUUUAAAAGGAUGAUAAAAAAAUUGAGAGAAAAUAGGCAAAAACCACAAAUAAAAUAGUUACCCGAGGGGCCUACAUGAUUGGUUGAAUAGGAACUGUAGCUUUCACUUUCUUAGCAACGUUUUAAUGGCUACUUUCUUUGGCUCCCUGCAGCAUUUGCUUCGUCAAUUUUCUGAUUACUUAUGGUUUUGUUAAUUUUAAUGUUUGUCCCUCGAUGUACUUUCCCUAUUGCUAUCAUUACUCUUUAUACUAUCAAUUUAAUAUGACAGGAGCUUCAAAGGAGGCGACUUCAGAUUAAAUCAAGGUCAAAGAAAAGAAAGAAUACAAAAGUGGAUGCGACUGGAAAAUCUCAAAUCAAACAUCUGAAUACCAAUGAUGAAGUUAAUGAAGCUGAUUACUCGAGACUUUCCAAUUCUGAGGUUGAUUUUGGGGAAAAGAGCUCCCAUGUUCAGCAAGACAAGACAAAAACUACGUUUCCAUCCAAAAAGCUACACAAGUUACAUUGGGGGCUUGACACCAAGGAACCAUGGGAGAGGAAGGCAAACAUGUAAAAAUAUAUACAUAUAGGUGGAACGCAGCUGCCAAGUGCUGUAGUGCUGGAUUGGGUUUUGGAAAUGGAAUGAUACGGCUCGAAAGGUUUGUAUUAUGGGUGAUGGAUCAAAUAAUGUGUUGAAUGGCCACUUAUUCACUCAGUUUUAUACUUAUAUCUGCUCAUUAUUGAUCUUACAGACCUGAAUUAUGUGAAAACUUACACAAUGUGGAUGACAAAGACUAGACUAAAGAUAGAGAAACUGUAACAAAUUCUUGUGAAUUGCCUCUAGGUAUGAUGUUGUCUGCAUUCGAACAUAAAACUACUACAUUUCAAGAUGAUUUAACACUGCUUAGAGAACCAUUUUUUGUAAGGUUGUAUUGUAAGUUUAUCCUUCAACUUGAAUGAUAAUGUGUCUAAAUUAUGUUUUU